UAGGGAAUCUUCCACAAUGGACGCAAGUUUGAUGGAGCAACGCCGCGUGAGUGAAGAAGGGUUUCGGCUCGUAAAGCUCUGUUGUUAAAGAAGAACGUGGGUAAGAGUAACUGUUUACCCAGUGACGGUAUUUAACCAGAAAGCCACGGCUAACUACGUGCCAG
This 164-nucleotide ribosomal RNA is filed under the name uncultured bacterium. RNAcentral's name for it is "partial 16S ribosomal RNA". It matches the Rfam family "Bacterial small subunit ribosomal RNA", at positions 355 to 511 of the family's 1533-position model. The record is from RNAcentral.